AGUUCUAAAUGGCGCGUUUUACUUAAAACAGAUACGGCUGCUGUCGACGAGUCAAAAGCAAUAUGCACUUUGUGUGAAAUGGAACGAAAAUAUCAGCGAAGCGCUUCAGGUUUAAGCUACCUUUAGCGAGCUAAGCAGCCACAGCUAAUUUGGUUGAUGCUAGCGGACUCAGCUCUAUUUGGGAGAGUGUACGUCGCCACCGACGUGGACGAAACCAAAUCGAAAAAAUUUACUGAAGCGCUUGCGAAUUGAGUGGCAACCAUAGACCGUUAAGAUUAUAUUGAAAUUGUGUGCAUGCGUUUUUGCUGUAUAAUGUAUCUGUACCUUUUUAAAAAGCAAGCAAUUUUUCCGAAGACUUUGAUUGUGUUACCUCAGUCUCGCUGCGCAUCUUUUUAGUUGAAAUAAUCAAAUAGCCUUAAUCUAAAGUCGAGUUCAUAAAGUAACUUUCUUUGCAUUUAUUUGAUUCCCAAUCAAGAUACACUGACACACCACAAUGGCAAGGAGACGGAUGACUAAACUUCCCCCUCUGUCCUUGACCACUCAUAAGAAACAUCUAAUACCUCAGGAAUGGGAAAUAAGGAAGGCCUAAUGAGUAUCUCAGACCACUGUGUUAUAGACCCCAUCACAGCUCAGCGAUAAGGACAGAGGUUACUCAGAAUCAAGGACAACAAAGCCAAAGAUCCACUGCCCUGUAAUGAAACCAUGAAGUCCUGCAACAAAGACUGUCCAUUUUGCCAGUUCGGUGGCUCUUUAGCUGUGUGUUUCUGUGUGCCUGAAUGAGUUCCUUGGUCAAAGCAAACAGUUGUUGCUAGGUAAACAUGGAUUAAACUCCACAUCUGGUGCAGACUUGUUUGCACAUGGCCAGGUGACUCAAGGUAUCAGUCAUUAUCAGUUCUGACAA
This is a long non-coding RNA of Etheostoma spectabile (orangethroat darter), 901 nucleotides long. RefSeq lists it as uncharacterized. NCBI's taxonomy places the organism in Eukaryota, Metazoa, Chordata, Actinopteri, Perciformes, Percidae. The record is from RefSeq and is a predicted model, not a curated record. The transcript is spliced from 3 exons.